Molecule: ribosomal RNA, 254 nt
Filed under: uncultured bacterium
Lineage: Bacteria
Description: partial 16S ribosomal RNA
Rfam family: Bacterial small subunit ribosomal RNA
Source: RNAcentral
UACGUAGGGACCAAGCGUUGUCCGGAAUCAUUGGGCGUAAAGAGCGUGUAGGCGGCUUGUUAAGUCUUGCGUGAAAUCUCGGGGCUCAACCCCGAGCGGUCGUGAGAAACUGGCAGGCUAGAGUGCGGGAGAGGAGAGUGGAAUUCCUGGUGUAGCGGUGAAAUGCGCAGAUAUCAGGAAGAACACCCGUGGCGAAGGCGGCUCUCUGGAACGCAACUGACGCUGAGACGCGAAAGCGUGGGGGAGCAAACAGG